GUUCUUCCUUCUCACUUCAAUCAAACACCCAUAAUUAAUACUAUUGGUUUAUAUAUUAAAUUGCUACUUAAGCAAGAAAUUACUUCUUUAGUAAUUAUUACUCUAUAGUGAAUACAAAAUUUAUAUAAACAUAUAUGUUACAAUAUAGUUCAACUACGUAAAUAUAUAUAUAAUCUUUUCUAAGAAUAAUCAUUCAAAUAUAAAAUAAUUUUCAAUAACUUUUAUUAAAAACUGUUUUAGCAGCUAGAUAUUUGGAAAUAUUUUUGUUGAAGAAGUUUUAAAACACAACUUUGAACAGGUACUUACAAGGAACAACUUUGGUUCUUUUUCUAAAUAUUUAAAAAAACAAAAGUAUCUUACGAUUCCUUUUUAAAUCAUAUUUCAGUUAAUGUUAUAGAUACGAUUGUCCAAACCUGAGGAGGUUCUGGAGUGAAACAAUGGCCUUCUCGUAACUUCCCUUUGCCAUGUCUUCUCUCUCUGCAAUUCCCCAUUUUUAGUCAGAAUUUAGCAAACAUAAAACACACUGUUUUUUUUCUCUACUGUGUAUGGUGAAAUCAAAAGGUAGAGAUAGACAUUAAGUGUGUGUUUGGUACGAAGGAAAAUGUUUUCUCUCAUUUUAAUAAGGAAAAUAUUUUUCUCCAAUUGGAGGAAAAUGAGUUGAUGAGAAAAAUAUUUCCCAAAACAUUCAAGACAACUCAAAAAUGAAAGUUAGAUAAAGAAGUCUUAGUAAGAACUAGCAUUAGACUUCUUCCCACCAAAUAUGGAAAAAUUGGAAAAUAUUUUUCUUCGUACCAAACACACCCUAAAAAUUAAGAGUGGCGUUAAAAUAUGUCCAUUUUGGUUGAUUUUCAAGUUUAUUUAGAGCUACUACAUGCACAUGAAAGGAUUGAACUGUACACUUUAGAAGAAAAGCGCUUCCUUUUUCUCUCAUUUUUAUUCUCUAGGUUCUUCGUGUGUAUUCAAGACAGCAGCUAACUUAAUUUUGGAGAUUAAUGAUAACAAGGUAAAAGGUGAAUUAAUGAUAAGAGAGUCACGUAUGCUAGCAAUGCAUUGUUAACAAGAUUUACUUGGCUAGAUAAAAAGGCAUUAAAAUCAUCUAAUUAAGUUAUAUGCACCAAAAAUAUAAUUAUGUAAGUAUUUAAAUUUUUGCAUAGAACUGAUUAUACUCGGAAGAAAUAGGUUGUAAAGUCUAGUAGCCUAUAAUUGCAAUCAGGCUAUAUUUAAUUUCUCAAUGUAAAUAAUUUUUAUACUAUAUCAUGUCGAUCAAAGAAUAUCUAUAGGUAAACUUAAAAUGUGAAAUUUGUAACCUUAAAAAUAAAAUAAGUUAACAUGCUACAACAUGUAAAAAUGACUUGAUGAUGUAAAAGUUCAACGGUAUACACAAUGUAAACUCUAAUAUACACUAUAUAUACCGAUCAAGACAAAAAGAAAGAAGGUGAAUUAAGAAAAGGUGAGAAGGUAUAUAUAUAUAUAUAUAUAUAUAUAUAUAUAUAUAUACNNN
RNAcentral lists this long non-coding RNA (1501 nucleotides) under Nicotiana tabacum (common tobacco). RNAcentral's name for it is "long non-coding RNA (NTAB_LNC009148)". Lineage: Eukaryota; Viridiplantae; Streptophyta; Magnoliopsida; Solanales; Solanaceae. The record is from RNAcentral.